AUGGCAACAAUGUCGGCGACCUCCAUCCUCUUCUCUGCCAUCGCUAUUAUGCUCCUUUCUAAUACCCUCGCCACCAAAUCCAAUGCCUCUGGGGGUGGCAAACCCGAGGUGACCAACUUCAUUUUGGAAGCGUGCAAGAAUGCCUCAAUGAAAAACCAAAUAUACGACCCCAACCCAAUCACGCAGGAGUUUUGUGUGUCGACCCUCAAGUUGGACAAUCGGAGCGCCAAGGCUAAAGAUAUCCAUAGCCUGGUACACGUCGCCAUCGACAUACUCAAGGGCCAAGUUGCUGCGGCCAAUGACAAUGUCAAACAAAUGCUGCACGACACUAAGAAUGGCACGGCUACAAUGCGUGCCUUCAGUUUCUGCAUGGUGCACUACAACCGCAUGGUGAGCAUCCUCAACAUAUGUGACACAAUGAUAAAGGAGUACCAUGGUCGCAAGGGCAGUGCCGACGAUGGGUUGCUGUCUUCUGAGCUGCCUUCCUGUGUGGAGAAAGUUGACAAACCUUUCAUCGACUGUUGGUUGGGCCUUCUUGCUAUGGAGGCGAAAAAGUUGUUAGAUGAAAAUUUUGCGGUGGGCAUGUUGGUCAAACUUAACUUUUGCCUUGCUAGCACCAUAUAG
RNAcentral lists this ribosomal RNA (624 nucleotides) under Triticum aestivum (bread wheat). Its description in RNAcentral is "partial small subunit ribosomal RNA". The record is from RNAcentral. Lineage: Eukaryota; Viridiplantae; Streptophyta; Magnoliopsida; Poales; Poaceae.